ACUCUGGUCCUGAAGGAUAAGCAGGAGUUGGGAGGAGACUGCCUGCUGCGGACAUCCUCGAUCCACAGCCCCAUGCUGUCUCUGGGUACCUGCAUUUUACCUUCAGCAAAGGUUGCAUUCCCAACAGACGGAGGUUCAAGGCGCUGCUGGUGGUAGGGGUAGGUAGCACUGGGGACCGAAGACACGGUGAAAGGAAAACCCUCAAACACUUUCUACUUUUGCUUUUAGCAGAUUCAGCCAACAGACAAGACGUCCGUCCCCAUUGCCCAGAGGAACUAACAUGGUGGUGUUCAGUGAGAAGACCAAUCAGCCUCCCUAAUAAAGCAGGGCAGUCCACUCUGCUAUAAACCC
RNAcentral lists this long non-coding RNA (351 nucleotides) under Rattus norvegicus (Norway rat). RNAcentral's name for it is "long non-coding RNA NONRATT022745". The record is from RNAcentral. Lineage: Eukaryota; Metazoa; Chordata; Mammalia; Rodentia; Muridae.